CGAAGGGUGCAAGCGUUACUCGGAAUUACUGGGCGUAAAGCGUGCGUAGGUGGUUCGUUAAGUCUGAUGUGAAAGCCCUGGGCUCAACCUGGGAAUGGCACUGGAAACUGGCGACCUAGAGUGCGGUAGAGGGUAGUGGAAUUCCCGGUGUAGCAGUGAAAUGCGUAGAGAUCGGGAGGAACAUCCGUGGCGAAGGCGGCUACCUGGACCAGCACUGACACUGAGGCACGAAAGCGUGGGGAGCAAACAGGAUUAGAUACCCCGGUAGUCCACGCCCUAAACGAUGCGAACUGGAUGUUGGGUGCAACUAGGCACUCAGUAUCGAAGCUAACGCGUUAAGUUCGCCGCCUGGGGAGUACGGUCGCAAGACUG
This 372-nucleotide ribosomal RNA is filed under the name uncultured organism. RNAcentral describes it as "bacterial SSU rRNA". It matches the Rfam family "Bacterial small subunit ribosomal RNA", at positions 526 to 896 of the family's 1533-position model. The record is from RNAcentral.